Molecule: ribosomal RNA, 254 nt
Filed under: uncultured bacterium
Lineage: Bacteria
Description: partial 16S ribosomal RNA
Rfam family: Bacterial small subunit ribosomal RNA
Source: RNAcentral
UACGGGGGGAGCAAGCGUUGUUCGGAUUUACUGGGCGUAAAGGGCGCGUAGGCGGCCACCGCAAGUCGAUUGUGAAAUCUCCGGGCUUAACCCGGAAAGGUCAACCGAUACUGCGGGGCUAGAGUGCAGAAGGGGCAACUGGAAUUCUCGGUGUAGAGGUGAAAUUCGUAGAUAUUAGGAAGAACACCAGUGGCGAAGGCGGCUCACUGGCCCGGUACUGACGCUGAGGUGCGAAAGCUAGGGUAGCAAACGGG